GGGGGGGGGGGUAAGGGACGCCUACCACGCCUUAUAUGCUAUGAGGGACGUCGCGAGGAUGUUCGUAGCGAGAGACAUGACGGCGAACGCGGCGAGGAACGGGUUGUAUAUCUCCAAGAGCGCGAGCCCCGUCGUCCGGACGGCGCCCGAACUGUUAAACCCGAUCAUGCCGGACACGGUGGGGGCGUCAGACGGUUGGGGCAGGGCACACAAACGCUAGCACCGCAAACGGGGCGGGGAGGGGGAGGGGGGGGACAAACCUAGAGUCAACGUCAUGAGCAGCGGCCCGGUCCAGUAGACGGCUCUGUUGCGCCAGAUGACGCACGCGCGCCACCACACGAUCGCGUCCCCGAUAAUCCACUGUCGGAGUAAUGUUAGAGAGAGAGAAAACGUGCCAGUCGAAAUAGUGCGAUUCACGUUGACUUCGAGCGCAAACACCGCCAUGGCGAGUUGUUGGCGCAUCCCGUCCUCGAAGACAGCCAUCUCACGGCGCCCGUCGUACGCCGGGGAGAAGAGGCCGUCCAUCGCUCCCGAGACGAGUUCCUUUGCCCGCAAGCGAUUCCAUAUGAGUGCGGCGACGUGUGUGCCUGUGGACAUGUAAAUGAGGACGUUGCUGAGGACAAGCAGUAUCUUGACGUUAGUCCAUGUGACAAGAGACCCCUGGCGACUACCGGCAGUAAGCAUUAGCGCAGGUCCUUGAGUGAAAGAAACAAAGGGUUGCCCACCCCAGAAAGUACGUAGAAGUGAAGGAUAAAACUGUCAGAAUUCCUGUUGCUUUGUAAGGCCAGUGAAUCCGAAACUAGGCAGGCCGACUCACCGAACAGCAGGCUCAAUAGCGAAAUCUCCAUCAUCGUGUCCCCCGCAUUGACAAUCGAGUCCUGUAUGAUACUGAGUGCCGGUGUAUUCACUUCCAUCGCACGAAAGUCGGCAACUGUUGCGUUUUCUGGAGACAUACUCUGGCCGGAAUAGGGAAGGGACGUGGGGGAUGCGUAACGGGAGAAGGAAAGAGGCUCGACCUACGACCUUCGACUCGAUGCGGAGCGCGGAAUAGAAGAUAGAAUCCGAAACCACCAUUUCCUGAUGGCCGGCAUUCUACCGCUCAGACUUACCACCGUUCAUCGGAGUACGAUGCCGCAUCAGCCUCAGUAAAUAGAUCCGUCCUGGCUUAGACACGGAUCAAGGCGGUGGUCCCGGACGCUGAGCGCACGUUUUCUUAUGGGACGAGUCCGAGAGGGGAGCCUAUGAAAAUACUAGCGAUAGCGCUUUGUGUCAGUCGCUAGAUGGUCAUGAAGCGGUCACAAAGUCACUCGCAUUCCUGAUGCACUAGAUCCGGCAUCGGCUUUGAGAAUAAGGCCUCGUGCGGCGGGUCCUGGCUUCGAGGAUACACGACUGUGAGUGUGUCAUGUCUCAGAGAGUCAGUCCCCAGCCGUGACCACGCCCGAGAAGCCUCCAGGUGUCAACUUGGAGUCAAAAGCGUUUCGAUGGCACAUAUAAUGUAAGUGAGGACGCAAGGCGAAGGCGUGAAUCGGAAUGGCAUAGCUCACUAAGAUGAAGCGUCGGGAACAAGGUCAUCGACGGCAGCUGUGGCAUGUCGCUGAGUGACCGAUGCAACCUUUAACAAUCAACGCAAAUGUGAUCAAUAUAAAGCAUAGCCUGUAUGGAUUGAAUGACUCACUAAAACUAUGGUGAAUGAGUAGGGGUUCGUCGAAAGCCUGCCUGAGCACUUGGCAGCCGAGUCGCCAAGUCCGAGGCUCCAAGGCUUGAAGUUUGGGGGAGUUUGCGUAGUUGCUGGAUGCCAGAUGAAGGUACUUGCUAGAUAUAAUGGCAAAUGGAAAGGUAUCACUGUAACGUAGGGACGCAACAAAUAUAGUGAGCUGUAAAUGAGAAAGAGUCCGCCGCGCUGGCAGCAAGUUGAAGUUGAAUCCUGAUCAGAUGUCGGUGACAUGUCGGAGUCUCGAACGCGUUACGUCACGCGUCGUAUGUCAGCCACCAGCGCCCCACUGGCAUCCACCACUCCUUGCCCAUAACUCCUAGUACUGGUCCAGCUUAAUCCUCUCACAAACACACUGGAUUAUUCGAUUUUUAUAAUGACCUGGCUGUCGAUGUUUAAGCUCGCUGGCUCGGAGCACCGACAAGUACCCUUCGCGUCAGCUGACCUAGACUGUGGAUGCGGCGGCGAUUGAACUUCCAGAUGAAAGGUCAAGAUCCAAGACGAUACGAGGGAGUGUACGGGGAGAUAAUAAUUUCUCGCGCGAUGAUAAACACCCCCGACAUAGCCGAGACCACAGCCCAUCCACUUUCUCCGUCACGUCCGCGUCCCGACCUGUCUGUCGGCACCGGUGUUCAUACGUACGACCGGUUAUGUUCCUUAGUCCUUCAGGUUCACUAGUACGUUGGCAGGACGUGCGUCCAUAACUGCUCGAAAGCGAGCGUAGAAGUGUACGACACGUCCGAACAUGGUCCUGCGGAUGCUCGGAUUACACAAGGGUCCCAACCUUGGCGUGCCCCUCGGUUAUCGACAUCUCCCGCGAGCCGGUGCUGCGAUGGGUACCAUCUUCAUCCGCCCCAGUCAUGUCUACCGCGCUGGCGCUUCGGCAUGUAGAAUGACGGAAGACCAUUGCGCUCCCGGUCGUCCCUUCCUCAACUGCGCCGACACCACCCGGUCUGUGUGCCUGGUAAAUUUGCGACAGCACCCCGUUGUCGAUAGGCGACUGCUUGAGCGCGACGAGAAAGACGAUGAACGUAGGGUAGAUGGCCUGUCGAAGGUUGUGUCCCAUGAGAGAGGUCGGAUGCCCCCGCACAUUUUUGAAAACACGGGCGGGUGGGCUACUUACGACGAGGGGCCCGAUGCAUCCGUACACGAAGUAAUUGUCCACUUUGGUGAACGCCAGCCCGCCGGAGUCGUUGCCCGUGGCGGGGGACGGGGCCAAUCUCGCCCGGAAAUAAUAGACGAUGAUGAACAUCUGGACCGUAGCACGCGUUGAUGUCAAAGAGGGGGAGGGGCAGAUCAAGAACGACGGCUUGCGCACCAUAAAUGCGCAGAACACACUUCCCGACUCGACGAGCAAGGCGAGGACCUUCAGCACCUGUGACUUCGCACCGGCUUCGGAGAAGUAUUUCUGGACUAUCCGCCUGUGUUCCCUAUUUGAAGUUGUUUUCGUAGUUAGGACUUGAGUCAGAGAGGAAAAAACGGCAGGAUAUAUGCGUACCACGCCUUGUAUGCUAUGAGGGAAGUCGCGAGGAUGUUCGUGGCAAGGGACAGGACGGCGAACGCGGCGAGGAACGGGUUGUAUACUUCCAAAAGCGCGAGCCCCGUCGUUUGGACGACGCCCGACCUGUUGAACCCAAUCAUACCGGAAACCGUGGGGGCAUCAGACGGUUGGAACGCACGACUGAAUACGACUCAUUCGGAGAACCGCAGGGGACAAACCUAGCGUCGAGGCCAAGAAUACGGGCCCGAUCCAAUACACGACCUUCUUGCGCCAGAUGACGCACGCGCGCCACCACACGAUAGCGUCCGCCAUAACCCACUGUCAAAGUUAAAAUUUGUGAAGGAUGGUACUCAACAGUUGAUGGAAGCGGUGCUACUCACGUCUAUUCCGAGUGAAAAGACCGCCAUCGCGAGCUGUUUGCGCAUUCCGUCCUCAAAAACGGACAUCUCGUGCUGGCCAUCGUACGUCGGGGAGAAGAGGCCGUCCAUCGCUCCUGAAACGAGCUUCUUUGCCUGCGCCCGGUUCCAUAUGAUUGCGGCGAUAUGUGUACCGGUGGACAUGUAGAUGAGGACAUUGCCGAGCACGAGUAUCCGGACGUUCGCCGACGCGCCGAACGAUCCGUGGCGACUGCGAGUAGUUCUAGAUAUCAGCGUAGGCCCUUGUGUGAGAAGAAACGAGCGGUUUCCUACCUCAGAAAGUACGUUGAUGUGAAAGACAAAACCGUCAAAAUUCCUGUACGUUGUGAGGACGGUGAGCUGGGAACUAUGUGGGCCGACUCACCGAACAAGAGGCUCAACAGCGAAAUCUCGACCAUCGUGUCUCCGGAAUUGAUGAUCGAGUCUUGCAUGAUACUCAGUGCCGGCGUGUUGACCUUUACGGCAUGAAAGUCAGAAACGGUGGAGUUGCCGAGGGACAUCGUCCAACGAGAACAGAGCAGGGACGUGUGGGGGGACAGUGCGUAGUGGCGGAAGGCAAGGAACUCGACUCACCGGCAACUUAUUCCCUGCAACUGUAUCCGAUACGCGGUACAGAAACAGGUUACAAGCGCCGCGUUCUGUUCCCGACAACUGCCGCCCAUAUUGCGAACGGAGUGUGAUACCGCGCCAAUCCAAGUAGGUAGAGCGGGCCCGACUUGGACACAUUCCUAAAUGAGAUCGGCAUCCCGGACGCUAGACACAGUUGUAUUAAUUAUGAUGUCAUAGUGCCAAUGUGAAACCGUUUACUUACCUGCACAUAACGCACCGAUGACGGAGUGGAGAAAGAGAGCGUUGUGUCGGGGUAUGACGCAAUGCCACAAAGUGCGGGCGCAUGACCCGGGACUCUGCCCGAGCGUUCAGACGUACAGUCGUUCGAGUCGCUUUCUUUCAAAAAACAAGUGCGGGUGGUUUCCCGCAUGGCAUUGCUGCAUCGUGCACCCGCUAACUCCCAAGCCCGAUCCGAGGAGGAACACAUAAGCCUCAACCAGCAGGACCGAUAAAAGUCGUCCUAUUACUUGAGUGUAUACAGGCAGAGAGGCUCAGGGCGGCGGCUCACCUUCACCUUGAAUGUCCAUAGCGCAGCUUUCAAAUUUCCGGUGCAACUCAGAGCGGCUGCGGCGUGCGACUACUGGCAAUACUGAGCUUCACGGCAGUGUGGGAUGCAGGUUGAGCCACCAAUGAGCGCCACUUCGUCCGCAUGAUCUGCAUCCUGUGGACCCGCGCGUCGCGUCGGGCCCUCCCGAUGUGCUCGCACAUCGCGCGGAACAUAUUUUUGCAGCGCUCCUCGAACGGCGCCCUCGUGAGGGUGGUGGAGAAGUCAAUGCCACCCCGGCAUAUUGGGCAUCGGCCGCGAUUGUCGUGUUGGCUGCGGGGGGCUGGGUACGCUUCACGCACGGGUCGUACCAGGCUACGGCGCGAGGUGCGCGACGAGGCGGCUGUCGAAGCAGAGUCAUCGCCGUGCAGCUGCGACAUGCCUGCAGUUGCACGGAUCCUGAAUAGUGCACCCCCAUGUCCAUCCCGUAGGCUUCAGGGGGAAUAGCUGGGUUCGCUGUUGAGACGGAAGAACCACAAACCGGCAGCGGCGGCCGCAACCUCGACUGCCUGCCUGAGCGAAACAAAAGUACAUGGGAAAGGCGAUGACUGCAAAGUCGACAGAGCCGAUGAGAUGAGCUAAAGCCGUUUUCUUCAACUUCAAGUGUUCAGGUGCCGACCAUCAGUAGGAUCUCAUCGGGAGACUAUGGACAUACAAUCAGCGCCUUUCAGCGAUAACAACCGUCAAUAUACAGUAUGCGCAUCACUUACGAACUUCCCCACCUGUCCGCGAUAUCGCAUACGGACGCCCGGCGUUGAGUCCGGUUUAGAACGGAAAAUCGAAAGAUUUUGAUGUCGGAGUGGACCUCUUUAUCAGAGAAGCGCAACUAUGCAGCUGUUUCACCUAUUAAAACGGUAUUGUAGUUUUCGCGGCAUCGCCCACUUUGAAGUACUCCGUGUCGGGGAAGGCCACGUAGGAUUGGCGUGCUGAGAUUGCCCCAGUCCUUGAGAGUAAUAUCGACACUAUCACUGUUCCAGAUGGCUAUACGGCUACGGACCAAGCAGUCAGUGGUAGAUGCAACUCCAGCGCUGGCACCGGCUCCGCCAACCCUGAGGGAAAACUCACCAGUCAGUGGUGCUAUCGAUAUUUAUCGCCCCGUGCGCCCUGCUGGGUGUUAUGCUGCGAUUACAUAAAACGGAAAAAUAUGCGAUAUCGUGCGCUGCAUCAUAAGAGGGAGUAAGUUGAAAGCGAAUACUGUAUAUAGAGGCGAUUGGGGAUGAAGGAGACCAGUGAAAGUGGCAUCCGCGCCUCUGAUUCUGUUGGCCCACAACAGCCGCCCAUCAGAUCUCGAUCGGGCGAGACCCCAGCCAAGUCCUCGUCCGCUAACACGGUCAGACCUACAUCCCUCCGAGCUCCUCCUGCAAAUCAACUGCUUCAAUCUUUUCCGCACGAAUGUCAGUCUCUUAAUGCCUCCAAGCUCAACUGUCAACAGCAGACGCUCCGGCCACCGCAUUCUGUCCCCUUCGUCGUUUAUUUCCUGCAUACGCCGGCUCCCUCAGACAACUCUGAAGCUCCGGAAUGCUUUUUCCCCCCUUCCUCUCAACCCUACCCGCCUUAUUCAAGAUACGAUCCACGACGACCGAGGCGGGGAAGGUGAGACAUGGGCUUGAUCAAAAGCAGGAGAGUGACGGGCCCGGGGAUGACGCAUGCAUACACGCAGUGAGAAGCAAGUCAAUGUAAUUGUAAGCACUUACGUUCUCGUCCCUACUCCUCGUGCCUCUCCUCCCCCCUUUCCCCUACCCCAUCACGAUGGAGGCCCUAUGUAGCUUAGGCAGCGUCCAAACACCUGUGCGCCCCAAAGGCGACGAGUGCUCUUCGCAGGCUCCAUCCCUGACCGUCUCUAGAUCUCUCAAGUGGGAGUGAAGGCGAAGGCUCCCAGAACAACGUUGGAGCUGAUGCAACUUUGAAGAACGGGUUCCUGCGCCUCCGUCUCAAGCACUGGAAUGUUUACGUUCAUCAAAUACCCAGCUGUUCAAGUCGACGAGCGCGAUCGUACGCACCACCGCCCGCUUCCCUCGCCUCCUCUCGAGCCUUCAAGGCCGGCAUCCCCACAGCAUCCCCGCAGGUGUUACGUUGGACCUCGACGACGCGUCCAAGUCACCCAAGGCCAUCCCACCUUCUCCACGUGCGCAGCCGGCUGCGCGAGCAGGAUGAUGGUCAAGUUCGAGCGGCAUGGCACGCGCUCGCUCGACAUGCUGCGCGCGGCGUUAUGUCUACGUUUCGGUGAAUUAUGAUAACAGUACGGUGUGCGCGCCGCGCCCAGGGCCGAUGCCGUCCAUGGAGACAACGCGCUCAAUUGCAACCAAUGUCCGCUUCCGCUUCCACUUCCUUCUCAGAGGAGGCGAGGAUCGACGUUUGGGCGGUCGGCGCUAGCGCCGCACUGGGUGGGGCUCGAUAGGCUCCCCUUCUCGAGCCACGCUGCCACGGGGUGUGCAACGUUAGCGUUACUUAACCAUCCCGUCUUCUUGCUUGCCUGUAUGUCCGGAAUCCAGAUCUGAGGCGCACCCAGUGGUGGCUGCGGCGCCCGCGCGCAUGCGGCAUCUUCGAGGUCUUCUUGUCCGGAUCCCGAUCCCCAGAUGGGAAGGAGCCGGGGAGUUUCAGGGUUUGAUUUCAACGAGGUGCGGUGCGGUGCACAUGCGGGGCAGAACGGGAUGUCUGGCUGUGAUGGAGGUUACUUGAAUGGUGGUCUGGGAGACUCGACGGCCACCUAUGUGCCUGGUUCAGCCCUUAAUCUGAGGCCUGAGAGAUGGUCUCUGUUCGACGUGUUUGUGUAUAGCGGUGACCUGCAUACCUUGGGGAUUCACAUUCGAGCCUGUGUGUAAGGAUGUGGCACGGCGCACGGCUGGAGGUACUUAGAGAAAGAACACGAACAUCAGCUUGAAAAACGUCAUGCGGUGCAGGGCUGCGACGGCAAUUCCACAGGCGCAGUCAGUAGUACACGAACGCAGCACAGCAUGAGCAGUGGGGACAUCGAAGACAUGGAGACCGUUCAUGAGCGUUCAUGCUGCGCGAAAGCGAUUGAUACGACCGGGACCCCAAUUCCACAGCCAUGAUCCACUCAAUCCCUUUGAUGAUGGCGCCAAACAGCGGCGAUGUCCGUUGCUUGUCGUGCUACUUCGCCUCCGAUCUACCUCGGUCCGCCUGACAGUACUUAUAUAUGUGCUGCAUCGAUCAUAGCCACUAGCAGCACGCAUCCCAUCCAGCCAUUCUCUGAACAUCUCCAGGCUCUUAGCUCUACCCACUGACGACACACAUGUUCACCAAAGACAAUAAAGCCCCCGCGGCGCUCGCGGUCUACUAUCCGCCGGCGGUGUACACCCCGGGGAGCGUCAUCGAAGGCGAGGUUGAGGUCAACUUCCGCUGCAUCCAGGAGGACAACAUCGACGAGGUCCACGUCAAGCUCCGCGGGCUCGCUUACACGUGCGUCUUCCUCGACCACCGCCCUGAGCGGUGAACGUUGAACCGGCGCUAUACAACAUUGACGUCGACCGCACCCCGCACCCCCGCAGAUGGAUCAACCAGGACAAAGUGACGCUCGAAGAGAAGACCCAGCUCGCGCACGACGAGCUCUCGCUCUGGGUGCGCGGCAGCGGCGCGUACCCCGCCCCGGGCACCGACAUCCUGCGCCUCCCGUUCCGCUUCACGCUGCCCGCGGGGCCGCUGCCCCCCUCCUUCAAGUACCAGUCGUCCUGGCAGUUCGCGCAGGUCAAGUACUCGGUGUGCGCCGUCGGCGCGCGCAAGGGCCGCUUCACGCCGAACCGGCGCCACCGCGUGCCGUUCGCGGUCCUGCCGCACGAUGCCCCAGGCGCGGCGCUCCGGCUCGAGGGCGCGACGCACGGGUGGCGGCGGUUCUUCAACGAGGACAGCAUCCGGAAGGGCCUCUGGGGGGACUACGCGAAAGUGCGCGUCGAGGUGCGUCUGCUCGCCGCGUUCUUUGCGCGUCUUUCCUUCGCGCCCCCCCCCCCCUCGAGCCUGACCGCCGUACUUACGUACUUAUACUUAUCUCCCCGCCCGGGCCCCCACGCGGCUGCAGCUCGCGCUGCCGGACAUCCCCGUCCUCCCGCUCUUCGCGGACAUCCCGUACACGCUCACGGUGACGACGACGAGCGCGCCGCUCGCACGCGCGAAGGCGAAGGCGCAGGCGCAGACGGACGCCAAGGCCACGUCGUUCCCGCCGCUCCCGCGCGACCCGCACGAGCUCGAGCUCGAGCUCGCGCAGAAGCUGCUCAUCCGCGCGGACAGCUUCAAGGGCAAGGCGAGCCACACCGUCGCGAGCAUCCUUGGGGGCAAGAAGGAGAAGCGCGCCGCGCAGGGCAAGAUCGACAUCGAGCUCCCCGAGCGCGAGUGGGUCCCGCUCGCCGCGCCGCUGGUGUCCGACGCGAGCUGGAAGGAGGGGGGGGAGAAGGCGGGGGAGCAGGAGGGCAAAGGGUGCUGGGUGCAGCGCGCGACGUUCAAGUCGACGUUCCGCCUGAACUGCCCGCCCGCGUUCGCGGUGCACAAUAUCGAGUGCAACGUGCGUCUCCCCCCCCCCCCAUUUACUUAUCUUUGCAUCGUGAUGUGGUUCGCUGACUGGAUACUACUCGGACUGCAGUACGUCUUCAAUGUCAAGGUGCCGUUCCCUGGGAUUGGGAACUCGCUAAAGCUGGAGGUGCCGGUGAACAUCACGUCGGGCAUCGACAAGCCGCUGGCGCGCGAUGAGUCUGCGGGCGCAGAGAACGAGCCUCCCAUACUCGACCUCCCGCCGUGCGUGACGUUUCGGACCUUCGCUCUCGUCUGUUCUUGUUUGACUGAAUAUAUGCCGGCGACAGUGCGUACUGGGACCCCGAAAGCAACGACUGGGACGGCGAUGAGAAGGACUAGACGUCCCCGUCGCCAUAUUUAUGGUCUCUCCUAUUUUAAAGUAGGAGCGCAUCACGUUGUAGCGCCUCUAAGAUCAUCUGUAUGCUACCACACUAUGGUCGCGCUUGUUUGUAUAGUAGCCUAUGUAUAUCAUGAGAUAUUGGAGCCAUUUGGCGAAGGCGGCGGCGAACAUGCGAAAACAAACAUACACGGAAGAACCGGCCCGUAGAUGCCGCGUUGCCGCGGCUGGCGCUGUGCACUUUUCUCAAGUCUUCCAGUUCUACUGUCGCCAACGUCUGCGUUGCUUAUGACUAUGAUCCUCUGUAGCCCCACAGUCUGAUGCUUCUGCCUUCUCGCAGCGCCUCGAUGACGAAUCACAUCCGAAGUCCUUAACCCGGAGCAUUACCAUGGCAGGUAUUCACGUGACACCCGCUGUCAGGCCGUACUCUCGCGCUUCAAGCCUCAGGAUCGCAUUUACAGUACCCCACAUAUCAUAUCAACUCAGUCAGUAACUCGUGCUGGAGAAUUAUGUCUGAUGGUACGUUCGGAGAUGUUUCUGCUCUUCGCGCCGUUUAUAUGCUGGAAUGUCUUUUUUGCGCCAGCCGCCCACGAUUGUGACUCAGCACAUACAAAGCAAUCUUGAUGUCCAUAGGGCACCACACGCCAUCUUCCUUCCCAGAGGGUGCCUCAAGCUGCACAGGAUCACCAUGUCUUGCCCAAAUGUGGUCGUGAACCUUACUACUGAGACAUUGCUGCCUCUGUAUAGAGCUUGGUGACUAUCCUCUCGUUCAUCAGAAUUAGAUGCUGACAGUGGAAGCACAGCUCGGACGGACGGGCGAGUAUCGUGUACCAUGUUUGGCAUGCCCAUACUGUGUGCAAUAACCUCCGAUCAUUCUCACCAUCAGUGGUCCGUUCUUGCCUUACUUCGUAAGUACGAAGCUAGUAUACCUCUCACUUGACUAAUUUUCACAGGAAAUUCAAGUUCCCCGCGACGUCAUGGUAUGAUAGCAUGUAGGGAGUAAUCGGACCUUGCACUUUUAUUGUUCUCGGGACGUGAUCGCCCCGUCGCGCUAUGUAAAUCCUGAUAUCUCAAUCUCUGAAGGUCUACAAUUAUAUCCGUGAGAGUCAACGGCACGUCCUGAUCGUUUAUCGUACCCCGCGGUAGGUCCCGAAGUUUAAUCCGCAAUUUCGAUUGGGUCUUUUAACAAGCGGGACCUACUAAUAGUUCGGCAUCGUUGCCUCAGCCUCGUUGCUACAAUAGCCAUGAAGGACAGGGGUACGUGCAGCGCACUUCUCUUCCGCCAAAGGCUGAACGUCGCUCUCAUAGCCGAGCGCUGUAUUUUCGCACCAACUAGAUCUAGCCUGUGCCUUCCAAGCAGUUCGUCAGCAAGCAUGAUUGCACCGUGUUGUUUCGCAAACGGGCUGGCGAGCCCUUCUCACUUGAACGAUUGAACUGUAGGCACCGUCAGCACCGCCACAUUGACGGCAACAACGGUACCUUUACGAUCUUCCUUUGUUCAAUGUUUUCCCUACUCAAGCUGAUGUCUCUGCGUUGCAGAUCAGGCGUGGAUUCUUCGGAGUAACGUAAUUGAUAAGUAGGUACACCGCCUGUAACUAUCAUCAUCCCUCAGGCUUAUAAACGGGCUCGUACAGUGCUUCCACCUCCUUUCCGCCCCUCGACUGCAUGCGAUGUUUCCCAUAGUCAGCGAGCCUCAGCCUGCGCCGUAUGACUUGUACACGAUCUCUCUCAUUUUGAGGGGUCAUGACACCUACACCACUGCCUUGUGGCCCUGCAUCGUUUUGCUGAUCCUGUCAACGGCACUGCUAGGUACUUGGCGUCCUCCACAUUCGCACCAAGUUGCGGGCUGACAUUGGUUACAGGCCUAUUCACUGCAUUGGCGUUAUUCGCCACCCUAGUCCUAGUGUGAGCGAACUUGGCCUGUCGUCAGAUUCUAGUCGCUCAUUGACACGGGCCUCCACAAGGCGAAAAGGCCUGCGCCAUCUCUCGAACUUCGUCCUGUUCGCGGUCAUCCUUCUAAUGUAUGCGUCGUCCGUCCUCCACUGGACGACACACCUCCUCAACGUCAUCGGCUACUACAACGUCGCCCGAGCAUACGCAGCUCAGCUGCUGUGCCAAUCCACCAGCGGAGACACGUGCAGCCUCCUCUGCCCAGUCAUCACGUCGCAGAAGCUGUCGUGCCCCAUGAUCAGCUUCGGCCUUCCUGGCUCCGUGCACGGGCUUACGGUGUGCGCACCCACUGCCAUUCUCACGAUCAACGUUCGUCUUUCUCCAUCGGUCGGGCGCAUGGAACUGAGCUAAGUGCAGAUAGUCCUUGGCGACGCCGUCGUGUGGUGGCGCGUGUGGGUCAUCUGGCCGCGCAGUAUGCUCGUGCGGACAACCUGCGUGGUCCUGCUCACCGCGACGUUAGGUCCGUCGUCCUCCUUUUCCCUCCACUGGCCCUAGAUUCCGAAGCUCACCCCCCCCCCCAUCCGACCGCGCAGCCAUGGGGAUCAUUGACACGACGGACUCGUGCUCGAAGGCCGCAGCGUUUUCGGCUCUUUCUGUAUUCAACCUGACGGACGUACCCCUCGGGUCCUUCUACCAGUUGGACUUGUUCGGGCUCACCGCGUCGGUGCUGUCCUUGGCGACCAUGCUCACCGCGUCGGUGCUGUCCUUGGCGACCAACAUGGUCGCCACUAUUCUGAUCGCUUGCAAGGCCUGGUGCGUAGCAUGAGCAUCGCGAUAUCGAUAUCUUCUUCUUCGGGCGGCUGAUGAAUGUCUCGUGCUACAUAGGGAACACGGCAAGAUCAUGGGCAGCGUGUCGUCGCUCAAGAGGAGCGGCAGUCGGGUCGAAAAGAUCCUCAUCUUUCUCGUCGAGUCUGGCACCGUGUACUGUGUCAUUUGGGUAUGCCUGCCUGCCUGCCGCUUCACAGAGACGUGAUCACGUUAAAACGUUAACCCGGGAUUUCUCUAGGUAUGCGUCCUCGUGCAUCAAGUCGCGUUGCUGGGUAGCGCCGGCGUCGUACCUCCGUUGGAGGAAAGGGUGCUCACGCAGUUCGACUACUUCAUAAAGGGGUGCCUCAUCCCUCUCAUCGUAUGUUCUCUCGCAGUUGUGGUUGCCGCCCAUCCAUUGAUAUAGAUAUUCUACUUCCCAGGGAAUGUACCCGACCGUGAUCAUCACCCUCGUUGCGCUCAACAAAUCGCACUUCCACGGGACGUCGUUCGGGGGCGGUCCCGUAUCCGAUAUCUCAUUCCGCCAUCCCUUAAGCAUAACUGCAACUUCGGCCAGCAAGAAAGUACAUUCCUUGCCGACGAUUACAUCUUGGCCCCACACCUCUGCCAGUGCAGCUUCAAAGAGAGAAGAUAGAAGCGCUGUCACCACUGAACUCGAGCCUCAGGUGGACAAUUCUUCCUCGGAUAGUUGCAGCGCCCUGGGUGCUCGAUGAUGGCCAUCGCAUGCAUAUAUGCAUACCUGGUUUUUGCGCGCUCAGUAUGUCCUUCCUCGCCGUAGCUUGUCCAUCGCGAUUAAUUUCUAAUGGGCCACCCUCCAGGCAACGAGCCGGAUGCCUCGCAUUCCCCUGGACUCGGUGAAGGUCUGCAUCCGUUCAUCGAAGUCGGGCACGACACUCCUUGGCCGAUAUUGUGUUGACAGACGACGAGCAACGAGCUCGCUCACCGUCGUUGCCGCUGUUUUACCUUGAGAAAUGGGGUACGUACGUACAGCGACCAGAAGCCAUGCAUGUUAGGCGUGCAAAAGUGGUUUAACUAUUGCGAAUCUGUAUCUCAUUAGGACUUGUAUUACGACUCGGACGAUGUGGAAUACGUGUACAGCUAGUGUACAAAUAUACGGGUCAUGACGGCGACGUCGAGUAACAUAGCAAAGUUUCAAAGGAGAGAUAUGAAUGUGAGCAACCCAAGAGUCCUAGAAUUCUGUGUCCGUUUGAAUUAUAGAAUCUUCGAUUAAAGGGACAUCCUCAAAGCUCGCCGAGCAGAUGACCGAAACCCCCAUCCCCGAGUCCGAUUAGCUACGAUGCGGGUCCGGGUAUCAAUGAAGCUCAUAGGCCGUAAAAUCCUCCUAGCGAUCUUCCCUAGAAGUCUUGGGGGAAGCUGAUGACGCGCUUCGGGUCGUACUUGUCCUUAAGCUCCUUCAGCCUCUCGGUGUGCGUAGGGUAGUAGCGCUGGUGCGACUCCUCCGCCGUGUACGUGCUGUCGACAUAGUUGACUAUGCAGCGCCAGCCACGCACGCACUCAGCAUCGACUAUCCACUCGCAAGUGAAAAUAAAGUACGACCACCCACCAUACUCCUUGAACUGCGUCUCGGGCUGGUUGUCCUCGACGGCCCUCUUCAUGCCCUGGACGAACGCGAUCCCGUCCUCGUCCGCGACGACGCCGUCGGGGAUCGUGCCGUAGUACUGGAUCGAGUACAGCGCGUCGCGCGCGUCGAACGCGUUGUAGUCCCCGUCCACGGCGCUCACCGCCGAGUCGCCCCCGCCGUACAGGUCGAAGAUCGCGAACCACCGCACGUCCGUGUCCGCGCCCGGGCCGUACAUGUACGCGAAGAGCGCGUCGGACGCGGCCGCGUUCAUCAUCGGGGCCUGCGCGGGCACGAACGUCGACGUCGCGUAGAAGGUGUCGUGCGUGUCGGGCGCGAGCGUCGUGUUCAGCUCGUCGAUGCUCGUCGCGCCGGCGAGGCUGAGCACGGACGUGAUCCAGUCCUGCGCCUGGAGGGAGGUGGCCGUGGGCGUGCCGAGUUUCGCGAGGAGCGGGGCGAAGGUGGCGUUGACCGUCGCCUCGUCCGCACCGUCUGUGUUCCGUUAAGGGUUACAUCAGGUCAGCGCCAUGGUCCGCCCGAGGAAGAUCAGGCUGCCACUCACAGUAGACCCCAGAGACGGAGAAGAUGAUAUCCUUAGGUCUUUCAUCGGAGGUAUCGAUGUGGAUCUGCAGACCGACAGCCUUGUCGAGCUUGUUGUACGGGUCGUUUGCGAACGCCUGCCAAGCCUGCAGGCCUUUGCUGGCCUCCUCGGCGCCAUAGUCGGCAAACGUGUACGAGAACGCGAUGGAGUCGACCGCUUCAUGUGUCACCGCGGUGAACGACGUGACGAUGCCGAACGACGCGGCGGCCCCGGUCGCCGCCCAGAAGAGGUCCGCGUUCUCCGUGUGCGACGCGUUCAGGAUCGAGCCGUCCGCGGUGACGAUCUCGAGCGACAGGACCUGGUCAGCGAGGAGACCCCAUGCACGGGAGGGCAGCCCGAAGCCGCCCUGGCCGGUGUGCCCGCCGGAGCCGACAUACGGGCAAGUUCCAUGUGCCAUCGCGCGCUGGCCUGUCAGGCAUUCGAAGCUGUAGUUAGAGCUCCGGCCGCCGUGUGAUUAUGGGCGCUCCGAUGAAGGGAGCCCCGCAUACGAACUGACGCACCGUUCUCCCAGAGAUAGAGGGCAACGUCGCCGAGGUGGUUGCCGGUACCGAAUGUGACCAUGUCGCCAUCCAGAGAAAGGUGGCGGAGGUGGUCGAGGCUGACGGUCAAGUGGCCAUCCUCACCCCCAAGCGCGAAUGCAGCGUCUGGUGCAAAACACGGAGUGUGUCAAUGCCGGGCGGAAAAUGCAGAGUCGUACGGAACGGUCUUACAGGAAUGGCCUCCGCUCCGUGCAUUGACCUUGACACCGUUGUCGGCGCCGCACUUGACGGCGGCGGCAACGUCCUUGGAAUCCAUCGGAUACACGAGAGCAGCGGGCUUCCAAUUGAAUCUGUGAAAACAGCAGAGAGAAGGUAUCAAUCAGCGAGCGAGUUAGCUUGUGAUAACAUGAAGUUACGGAGGACGUACCGGAGGUUGAAGGGGGCAGCGUCCGUGGCAUAAUCCGGGUCGCCCUCGACGACGGGGUCGAGCCCGGCAUCUUCUAGGCAGUCAAGGAGGCCGUUGCUCACGCGGGACUUGAGCUGGCUGUAUGGGACCCCAGCGGCAAAGACAGAGGAGACAACAGAAAGAAUAACAGAGCCUGCAAGGAUUCGGCGCAUGGCGAUGAUGAGAGUGAGAGAGGGAAACGAGACGAGAAGAAUGGGAAGAGUCCCGUAAGACUGAAGAAAGGACGGACCUCGCAGAGCCCUUAUAUUUCGCCUGUGUAGCACGUUUGCUGCCGCAGAAUGAGCGCAGUACUUGUGUUGCAACCUAAACUGGUACACGGAGAAUCGAAUGAGUGACAUCGGGCACCGGAUUGAACGAUGAAUGGAUGCUAACCCCACGAUGACGCAACUGGGGAAGCGCCAGGAUGGUACGGAUGGAUGGAGGCUGUGGUGUCGGAUGGUGACACAAUGACAGAAACCGCCUAAGACUAUGCACGCCGAAAGGCUUGUGUGCGUUCCCUAAAGGCUCGUUCGGGACCGCCGUCGGACAUCCCUUGGCAAGACGCUCUUCGUCGCCUCGCCCCGCGUCCGAGUCCGGCAAACGUCGUAGUAGAGGCCGUCAUAAUGGCAGCUAGGCCGCUCUAUUCACAUCGUUCCCGCUCUAUGGCCAUGCAUACAACUGUGUGUAGCCGCCCGGUGUACCGCCUACGGCGGUGAAAUGUCCGACAGUGGUUCACCAAAUGCGCGCUCCGAUUGUGAUCUCGACAGGCGAGCCCAGCAAAGCGGCCGGUGGGCGCUGCGAAACUGGACCACCGGGCACGGAGCUGGGAGGUCGCGAGUUGGCUAUUCGUUUCGAGGAGGGCUAUGAAGCAAUGUAACCAAGACUGUCGGCGACAGCUUCAUAGAGAAGAGACUCACGAGAUUUGUCAUGGCACUGCGAACCAAGACUUUGGAGAUCCGAAGAAUGCGGUAGCCCCGUUUGCUCGCAAAAGCCGCUUCGGAUCCCUGAGGCUGUCAAGAGUUUGAGUUACGCACGAAAGAUGAGAUAAUCCCAUGUUUUAGGUUCAAUGAAAGCAGAAGCAGAAGCAACGGGCUAUCCACGAAAUGAGAAUGCACAAAUAUGGGCUUCUUGAGGGUGAAGUUUGGAGGGCGUGAAGAAUGUAACAGUACUGCAACCACGUAGGAUCCGCCAUGUACUUCUUUCCGACGGGUCCCUCAAAGAAUAACUCACGUGAGUCACUUGAGCUUGCUUCCAUAUUUCUCUGCUCCUCACGGUAACUCAACCUCUAGGAAACGGACAACAUGAUGUAAAGGGAGGGUAACGUCCCAAACCCUAGGGCAAGCAAUAUAGGUGAGUAUGUCAAAGUGAUAAAAUAAACGAUUCGGCUCACCGUUAUGCUACAAACCUCCCCAUAUCCCACAUUGUUUGUAUACAAGCGGAUGUAUCUCCCAUAGCUAUAGUCGCAACGGAUGUAUUGUCGAUCCACCGUGACGAGGAUUGUCGACGUUUGGAGGAGUUUUGGGGGACGACCUAGGGUUAGAGCCUACAAAAUUGUAGGGUUGUGUUCACCUGCGUGUGUAUUUUCGAUCGUAGAGUAACGGAUCAGAGAAAGCGGUCAGAAACUCAAUGGAUAUGGGCAGGGAGUAUAGGUGAGGGUGCCAGCCGCGGCCAACCUGCAACUUGCCACCUGGCCAGUGUUAUCUAAUCUAAUCUAUGUUCCACUAUAUGGUUCGGCGUCGUUCACUGCCAUCAGUACGGUACUUGUUACGUUGGUGGGCCCCGGGGAAGAAAACAAACAUUAUCAUCUACUUAAUUCCAGGAGUGCUAGGAUUGGAAUGGUCGAGCCCCGAGGCUUUGUGAGCAACCCACUCCUCGCAUAUGCGUCUGCACAGGAUGUCCAACUUCAAUCCGACUCACCCCCUUAAUGCACACAAUGAUACACACAAGUCGUGCACUCGGAAGGUACCAAUUCUCGUAUACUCCUUUCCAUUUUGGACCAUCCCCAAUGUCGAUCUGGCCAGACGAACUCCAGCGCUCGUAACUAGUACUCAGUACUCAUCCCUGGAUCAUCGACACCUCGUCCUCCCCGCACUUCCGGAACAGCUCCCCCCAGCUCCCCCGUCAUCUCCCUCCACACCGGCCCCCGCAAAAAGUCGCGCACGCGCGCGUCAUGCGGGUCCACGACCUGGUCCUUGUCCCCCAUCUUCGCGAACAGGAACAGGCCCCGCAGCCCGACCCGGUGCAGCGCCAGCGGGCACGCGUCGUGCUUCGCCAGCUCCCCGAACCGGAUGUUCGCGUUCAGCACCUCGUCCAUGUCCAUAUCCACGCCCACGCCCGCACCCACGCCCACGCCCACGCCCACGUCUGCCGCUCGGCAUCGGCACCUGUAUGAUUCCUGCGCUCCGGAGUCUGCUCGGGAUGACGGCCGGGUAACCCCCACUGGUCGAGCUCCGGCUCGCGCAGCCACCUGCGAAUGAGGCGGAGCGCGGCGGCGACGGCGGCGACGGCCGCCACGUCGUUCGGGGCCGUCGCGGCCGCGAGGAUGCCCCCGUCGGCGAGGAGCUCGCGCGCGCCCUCGAUGGGGGCCCGCGCCGGACCUGCGUCCGGACGGACUCGAGGAAGUCGACGCCGGCGCGCAGGAGGUAGCCUUGAGUAAGUGGAAGCUAGAGUAUAGCGGUAAGUAGCCCCACGAGUUGUUCGCCGGCUCGUCGUCGCCGGAGGUGUCAAAUUUGAGCGAGGCCUCGAUUUCUAAGUUCUUCGCGCCUGUUAGCGCGGCGGACGUGGAUGAGCCACAUGGGCGGCGGUCCUGUGUGGCACGUCGUUUGAGGACUUCAGCGCGCAAGGCGAAGGGAACACUGACCUCGCAUGCGCAGGUUGCAAGUGUGGGUUUCGAGGGGAAAUCCUGGCUGGACUGGACGUCAAUGCGUGCGCCGGGUGGGGACGAGACCAACCCUACCUCGUGUAGGUCGUGCGAGCUAAAAUCUAUUCGCGAUUGAGGAUGUACCGACGAAGGCCAGUGAUGGUGAUGGUGGAAGCAGAGAGCGAGGAGGCAAUAGGAGACAGGAGGAAGGCCGAAGGGGUGUAACAUAUGCGCGUCGCAGAGGCACGUCCACCUAUCCGUCGACACGUCCACCGGUGAGGUCGAAGGCUGAAUAUUAAUAUUUAUCAUCCCAAAGUGCGAAUCGUAGUCCGAAGCUUGAUCGAGAAAGAAACCCAAAAUAUAUUCCUAGGACCGAAGACAUGCGAAAAAAAAAACCCUCCCCCACAACACCAUCGAGUCCGGAGAGGCUUCUCAACAUCAGUUAUAUAGCAAAGAGAACCACACCCUCGCCACGAAGCGGUGGUAAUGCAAGACAUGGAUGCUCUCAAAACAGAAUCCAAAGACGGCUCACCCUAUAUCCAGCAACCUUCUGAGAGUGACGCACGACGGCCCCUUCCUUCGUGAUCGUAUGUACAUUCUCGGCACACUGUUACCAGCAAUCAGCCCACGGCGCUCUCGUCAACGACAGACAGGUGACGACAGACGGACAUUGUAUGAUCUCUCCAUAUUCAACAAACGCUUUCGAUGUGUGUGUGGAGAGGCACAGGGCCAUCUUUACGAUUGCCAGUGAGCGGACACCUGCAACAAGACAAAAAUAUCAUAUGCUCCAUACACACAAACCUUUUCUUACAUACGCGGCGUCCUGCGACGCUGCAAGUGCUAGCCGCCGUGGAGAUGUGGAGACAUAGUAGGCGAGGGGAACAGAACAAAGAAAAGAAACGACCGACCGGACGUAGUACCGUAGUAGAGGGGCUAUAGGUAAAGCGACGUAACGAACAAGAGUGGAGAGUACCGCACCGCAUGCAUGACCGCCCGCCUAAAACCUCCCUUCAACCCUGGACCUCGACGCCGACUCGGACGGCCGCCGAGCGCACAUGCACGAGGCAGCAAUGAGUCAAAAUGAUGCUGGUGAAGAAGGAAGGGGUGGAGGGGACGGACUGGUGAGCACAUCCCGUCUGCAUCUCGAGCGUCCCCGGUGAGGUAGCCUCCAAUGUUGCGUGCGUCGCCUACAAGAAGUCCUCGGCCCUUGCUCGUUUCUUGCCGCGCAUCUCCUCGGGAGGUACAUUGGGCACGGGGCCGUCAGCGGAUACAGGGAAGAAGUACUUAGGGUUUCUUGACCGCGUCUCUUCCUGUGGGAUGGUUAGACAACGAGACAAAGGACAACGGUAGACGGCAACUUGCCGGUGAGAAGUUCGCAUCAGGCCACUUAAGAACCGUAGCCUUCUUGAACGUCGGAUUGACCUGCGCCAGGGACGGGUUCGGUAGUACGAGAGGGGUAGGUGGAACCGUGGACGCCGGCCGCUGCUGUUGUUGCUCUGGUUGCUGUUGUGGUGGUUGCUGGUCGUAUGUCGGAGGCGGGAUUGUUUGGGGAGGAGGCGCAACAGCGGGUACGAAGGUAGGAGCACCAAGGGGAGGAGCGCCGGGCACUCCGGGAGGAGGUGAGAGUGGUGACGCACCGGGAAUAGGAGGAAGGUUGACGCCGGGAGGCAACAUUCCCGGAGGUGGAGAGAAUGCUGGAGGCGGUACACCCGGUGGGCCCAUACCUGGAGGGAGGAACGGAGGAGGGAAAGGUGGUCUCACACCUGGAGGGAACGGUGGCACACCCGGUGGCAUCAUGCCAGGGGGUGGAGAGCCAGCGAAAGGCGGAGGCAUACCCGGGAAGCCGGGCGGCAGAGGCAUGCUGUUGACACCAAAAUGAGAAAGAUUCUAACACGAAUAGAAAUACGACUCACCCAGGCGGCAUAGGCAUGCCGGGAAGGGGGAAGGGCUGACCUGGGAAACCUGGAGGGGGAACUCCGGGCAUGAAAAGGGGCGCACCUGGAGGCAUAACUGGAGGAACACCUGGCGGAGACAUGACGGGCGUCGGGAUUGCAGGAGUAGGAGGAGCGGCAUAUGUUUGUGAAGGAGCUGCAUAGACUGCGCCCGAUGCGGCAUCUGGCACGGGGGGCGCAUUUGAUGCUUCUGAAGCGCCCAUGAGAGCCUUGUGAGCCUCAAGCUGGGCCUUAAGCUCGUCCUCGGAGAGGGGACGGUUCUCGAUCUUCGGCCGUUUGGACGGGGGCUGGGUGAUCGACCCAGGGUUCAAACCGAGCUCGAUCUCUUUACGUCGCUUGUAGUCUGCCACGUCAGGGGCUGGAAUACCCUCCAUACCGAAGAUCUCCACUUCGUAGCCAUCACGACCGGGGAGGGCGUUUUCAAUCCGGGGGAGACUGGGAGAAAAUAUAAGGGAGAGCGAGAAAGAAGGACCUUAAUAAUGACUCACUUGUCGGGCUCGAGCUUAUGAACUUGUUGGAUAUGGACGGCCAGACCACCGGCUGUGUUCAAGCGACGAGGGCAGAGGUUGCACUUGAAGUGCUUGGCUUUCUGGUGCUGCAUUAGCACUAGAACGUGUAUCAGUAACUAUAUGCGCACAACAGACCGAGGACUAGUCACCUUUCUCAUCCUCAAACUCCCUCUCACAAUACCAGCACCAGGGACGGAGAACCUUGGACAACUUUAGCAUCCGCACGUUCAUUCAAUAAAAUCACGUACCUGCUUGUUCUUUUUCUUAGCCAUGAUUGAGGGAAAUGAGGGCAGGGAAGGAUACGACGGGUGGACUUCGGGGAGGAGGCGACGGGCGGUGCUGAGAAGCGUCGGUCAAAGGAAAGUUUGCCAGUCAGCACAUAUUGGAACGGCGAUUCGGGCUUUUAAAAUAAUGAAGGCUCAAAGCCGGAGAUGUCUUUCGGAGAUUGAAUAAGAGACGUGAGUUUCCGAACUAACUAUAUCAGUCGAUGCGCAGCGAUGAGGCGCCUGAGCUGCGCUCGCAGCCCCUUUGGUCGACAGUGGUGCGACGCCGACGCCAGCGUCCUGGAGGCCAACGACGUCUACCUAGCUCGACUAUGAUAGCAAUAUUCGCCGUGACUCCAUAAAAUCAGAAUCCUGCGCCGUCGACGGACAACCCGCUGUGUUCUCUCCUCGACAAUGAUUGGACGUUCUUUCCGCGAAUACGUCUUCAUCCGCCUUUCCAUCCUCGGCCUCCGACUCAUCGCGCCGCUCAGCAUAACCUACUUGGCCGUGAGCUGGUACCAUGGACGUGCGCUGCUUUCACCGUGGCUGGCCUCCUAUGCGGCCGUGGAAGCUUUCUUCUACCUCUUGGUGGUGAUACCCCGAAGGCGAGUUCUACAGAAGGUGAGAUUUACCCCAAGUCCUCGUCGAUACAUAGCCUCGCAAGAAGGCCGGCAUCCCCUCGUACCUCGCUGUCCCGGGUUACGCGCCCCCUAAGAUUGGUUCUUAGUCUGGCAAAGUGUCAAUUCUGGUAUGGCUUGGGGUGAGGUAUACACCUUUACGGCCGGGUCACAAUGUCGUGGAACACAAAUUGCGGCUCGAGCUGACACCGUUGGAUCUAGCCAGCAACGCACCCACCACUACCCUCUCGCGAGGAACGCGAAGAGCUCUUCGCAAAAUGCUUCGCCAGGGUCAGCGAAGCCAGGAUGGCCACCGGCUGGUUCUUCUCCGUAGACUCAGCACUCAUCAAGCGCGAAAACAUGAUAGAGUGGCUGCUGUGGGCCAUUUUUGGCACGCAUAGGGAAGAUAUACGAGACGAGUGGGCCGACGAAAUCGAAGGAUACCUGCGUGAUAUCGAGGGGCUAUUCGGGCACAAGAUAAAUCACGGCCGAGCCCAUACCGUGGACUCCAUGAAGGUCUCGCUCGACCCUGUCGAAACGGUUCACAGACCUCUGCUUUGGUACCUCGUGGGUCACUUAUGCACGAACACAGGGAAAGUGUACUAACAUGCCGUAGAUCGUUGCAUUCGUCGACACCUACACGUUCAUCCAAUUGCGCCUCAGUGGUUUCGAACACUAUACCGACGGCUCAUGGACGGAAUGUUUUCCUCCUCGCCCCCUAACGGCUUUGUCCCACAAAUCAAGGCAGGAAGGCUUGAUCUACUGGCUCCGCCCUCAUCGUUCUUCCACAAAGGACCCAAUCCUCUUCCUGCAUGGCAUCGGGGUACGUCUCCAUCCCUUUCUUCCAAUCCCCGUUCACGAACGGCACAUCAGAUCGGAUUAUGGCCCUAUACCCCCUUCCUGCACGAGCUCGCCGCCGGCGACCCCUCCGUGGGCAUAAUCGCAAUCGAGACCCUCGCAAUCAGCAUGCGCAUGUCCCCCCCGCCCCUCCCGCGCCCCGCCAUGCUCUCCGCGCUCUCCGCGCUCCUCACCGCGCACGCCCUCCCGCGCGUCGUCGUCGCCGCACACUCCUACGGCACGAUCGUCGCCGCGCACAUGCUGCGCUCGCCCCUCCUGCGCCCGCGCGUCGCCGCGGUCGUGCUCGUCGACCCGAUCCCGUUCCUGCUGCACCAGCCCGCCGUCGCGUACAACUUUGUGUACCGCGCGCCGCGCGCCGCGAACGAGUGGCAGCUGUGGUACUUUGCGAGCCGCGACCCCGACAUCGCGCGCACGCUCGCGCGCCACUUCUUCUGGGCGGAGAACAUCCUCUGGCGCGAGGACCUCGCCGGCGCGCGCGCCGCCGUCGUCCUCAGCGGCCGCGACCAGAUCGUCGACGCGCGCGAGGUGCGGCGGUACCUUACGGGCGAGGCGUGUGCGGACGGGGAGGAGCCGCGCUUCCUUUGGCAGGCGGGGGAGGGCGAGGGCGAGGGCGAGGGCGAGGGCGAGGGCGAGGGCGAGGGCGACCUGAGGGUCCUGUGGUACCGCGAUCUGGACCAUGCGCAGGUGUUUGAUACGAGGGCGCGCCGGCGGCCCAUCUUGGACGUCCUCCACGAGUUCGCGGGGCGGGAGGUGGGAGCUGCGUUCUGAAACUUAGCGCGAUCUGAGCGUCCCCGCUCGAGCUCGAGACCGGAGUGGGUGUUUGGUGAUGGCUGAAAUUAUACCAGGCUGAGUACGGUCUACCUACAUUUGAUAAAGUACAAAAACAUCAAAACAUACUACUUAUACCCGACUUGAUAUCAUCUCGCUAUGACGAGUGGUGGUGUGAUCGGGGGUGAUGCGCGCGAGAGCGGAGGAGGAGCAGAAAACAACAACAGCCAGUGUCCCUAUGUCAAUGUCAGAACCGAGAUCAUCUCCCCCCACGACGCCCAUCAUCAGGGCUGCUUCUCCAGGCCUCGGAGUCAGACCAUCGGACCGCAGGACUCAGACUCAGGACUCAGGUUCAGGACUCAGUACGCGACCGUGAUACCCGAGCCCUCCCACUUCUCCCAGUUCGGCAGCACGUCGCAGACGAUGUAGUGCGCGAUGUCCUUGCGCGACACGCGGUACCCGUCUCCAAAGUCCCCAUCCUUGAUCGUCCGGUACGGCGCCUUCCCCUUCUUCGCGCCCGCGUCGCCCUUGCACUCCCCGUCCGUGAGCAGCGCGGGGCGGAUGAUGACGAGGUGCUUGACCUCGCCCGCGGGGAGCCCGGGCGUGUCCUCCCACCCCGCGGGGAGGACCGCGGGCUUGACGGCGUCGGUGCCGGGCCACGCGCGCCCGGUGACGUGCGCGAGCACGCGCUCCGCGCCGAGCUUGUCGUCGUGCGGGCCGGCGAGCACCGCGCUGUAGAACGGCUUGAGCGCGAGCGGGAGCGCCUUGUGCGAGGCGGCGGUGAUGCCCAUCGACGUGAGCACGACAAAGUGCGGCUGCGCGCCUGGGGCGCGGAGCGCGUCGGGCAUCGUGCUGAAGGUGUUGAUGAGCGAGCGCGUGACGAGGUCGGCGGGGUUGAAGACCAGGCCGCAGGUGAUGGAGAACGUGGGCCGGCCGCCUGUGUGCAGCGCGGUCGGUCAGAAUGGAGAUGGUUUGGAGAGGGAUACUUGUGGGAAGGACGUGAGACGUACCGAGAGUGAAGACGACGGCGUCGAUCUUGCCGUUUCCGAUUUCGAGGGCCUUGGCCCAGGCGUUGCGGACGGACUCGGCGUCGAGGCCAUCGCCGCGGACGAGGUUGGCCUUGCCCUCUUUGAUGAAGGGCGCCAUGUCCGCAUCGUUGUCGAACGCGCUGGUUGAGCGCAGGAGGUAGGUGACAGUCGCCCCUUGCUCUGUACGAUUAUCAAUGUCAAUAAAGACGCGACAUUUUCAACAGGCCAGAAGAAACGUACUCAGGAGGCGGAGGCCGGCGAAGUAGCCGAUGUUCUUGGACGCGCCAAUAGCAAAGACGUUCAUGUUGCGGGCAGGUGGGGAGUUAUGUGAUGAGAAGAGGAGUGUUGAAAGAGGAGUUGGAUGCUGAACGCCAUCGACUUUGACGGCGAGCCUUUAUACAGGCACGGAAAGAAGCCACUCGUAUCCGGCCCACGAACGUUGAGCGAGUGCAGCACCGCUCCGCAGUAGCCACGUCGCGGCGCCCAAGGGACGUGUCAAGAGGACCAGAUGUUUGCUACAACGCUAGACUCGAAGCAGUCGAGCGGGACGUAUCAGAGACACAAGCGUAUCAACGGAGAUCGGCCGGGGAGAGGCUGUGCCUCACAUCGUCGUACGGAAAUCAAUUAGCGGCCGGAUAGUGAGCUGCAUGCGUCAGCGUUUUUGGAGCGGAUGGAGACAGUCGGCAUCACUUCCUCCUGGCCGGUCCGCGAAAAAGAGGCCUGUGACAAGCAUGUCCGCGGCACAAUGCUCCAUCAACGCGUUUCGCCUGCAGCGAAUCAAUGCCAGGCGGGCCAUCCUAUCCUGGGAUGGAGUGCCAGUGAAUGCCUUCAUUCGACCAGCUGUGUUUCAGAAUCUUUCUCCGUGGUCGGAAACAUACACCCUCGCAUACACAGGAGUACGUCAUCCGAACGUAGCGCGACAAUGGGACGGGGCUGUGCCCUGACGGCAAUCCACCUGACGCAUCUUCAAAUUGUCUUCGAAUGAUGGAGCAAGGGAGUCGCGGAUUGCAUCCUGUACCCGGGAGUGCCUGGGCACGCGCCGAAAGUCUCCGAGCUACAAAGUUCGUCUUACGAGCGACAGAUACUGUACCUAUUAGUAUAUGGAUCCGAUCCUCCGCAGCCACAAGUUGCCGCCACAGACGUUGUACCGUUUGGGCCCUGGGUUGGGCGGCGAAAGGGCGCAUGCUCACCGGUACUACACUUCCUUGCCCUGGCUCACUGACGCGUCAUGGCUUGCGAGUUCACUCGGAAGCCGGCACCGUUGCAGGCGCAGCGACACAACACACAAGUGCCGUGCAGGCCCGGCGCAUUUGCACCGGAUGGAUUGCUCUACUGCGGGCGGAGUACAUGCAUGUUUUGUAUUGCUCUAGUGGUGGGACUCCUUCGCGAUCUGCGCCGCGUACGGGUUGCGCGGGUCGUUGCGGAAGCCUUCCGCUGCACGUCGACGUGUCAGUUGGCCAAGUGCGCUGAAGCUGCGCGGUGCAGCUGGAAGGGCUGGAGAACUCACACUUGACACCGAGGUCCUGCAUCUUGCCCACCAGGAACCACGUCAAAACACUCGCGGUGACGAAGGGCCACAUCGGCUUAGCGACCUGGGGACGGCGUUAGACGACUCUGCUCGCAGGUUCCGAGGACGGACGAACGGGAGUAGGCCACUUGCGGAGACCGAGGAAGCUCAUGGUGAAUGAUGUCUGGUGGUACAAGCCCAGUGAGAGGUCUAUGUCGUUGAAGCAGCGAGGCCGUACGUACGGAGUCAGGAAGUGGUGGUGGUGGUGGAUGUGCGGUGAGUGGAAGAAAACGCGGCAGUUUACGGAACGACGCCGGCGGCAAUUUCUUAACACCUUGUAACAACCAGAUCUGUAAUCUCUUCUUACUCGACUAUUUUGGGGUAAACUGACAGAGUUAUCGCCUUUUGUUACUGGCUCGCAUUACGCGUCUACUUACGAGCACCUUGCUCUGACCUCGCCGACCGUGGUCUCAGUUUCAGACGAGCGACGACCUAGACAUCCUUCACGUAUAUGCUCGGCUUGUGCUUCAGGGGGCUGCAAUACUAGCACUUAUCAGAAACUACCGCUCACUACUCUUGAGGUUACAGCUGUUCUCAUUGUCCAGUGCUGCGCAAAGCUUGCAGCAUACGUGACAUCAUAGGAUACCCCCUCAACAUCCUCGCAUUCAGAACUACUGUCUCUCUUUCCAUCUGCCAUGGCUCAGCAACCAGGAGGAAGUGCCGCCGCACCAGCAGUAUGUCUCUCUCCACAAUCCCGCGUCCUCAUCCCUCACUUCUCCUAGUGGAGACAAUUCCCCUUCUUCGAUGAGGUCCCUGUCAAGGACAUCCACGACCUCGGGAGUGCGCCAGAGGUGUUCCAGGUACGGUGCCCAUCCAUCCCCGCAUACGUCGCGCCCUUGACCAAUGCAUGCAGAAAACCCCAGAAAUAUCGACCAUUGUCGCGUCCUCCGUCGGCCUCGUCGUUGCGGACAUCCAUGGCAGCGUGUACCUCCUCAACCGAGAUUUCGAGAUCGCGAAGAGCUGGAUUGCGCAUAUGGGCGGGCGGGUCACACAUAUGGCGGAGAGGAGGGGGAUCCUGAUCACGCUCGGGGUACGUCCACAGCCAUCUCUGUCUACAAACACGCGCGUUGAGCUUGCGUGCGCAGGAAGAAGACACCGCACGACAUCCCUUCCUGAGGGUCUGGGAUCUGCAAACGUUCGACAAGAAGACCGGAGCCCCCCUGCUUCUCCGCUCAGCGAAGGUCCAGAGCGGCAGCCGCCCCCACCCCGUAAGUCCCAUCCAUCCUGCCCAACGCUACCCACAUAUACCUAUACCCACACGCCCCGCAACAAGGUCUCCACCAUCGCCCUCUCCUCUGCGCUCUCCUACCUCGCCAUCGGCCUCGGCGACGGCACCGUCCUCCUCUACCGGCACCUCGACCAGUCGAUCUACAGCGCCUCCGGCUCGCUCAGCACGCUCCCCAAGCCGCGCGUCAUCCACGAGUCCGCCGCGGAGCCCGUCACGGGGCUCGGCUUCCGCGAGCCGUCGGACGACGCGCCGAACGUGCACCUCUUCAUCGUCACGACGAACCGCGUGCUGUGCUACCAGGCGUCGGGCAAGGGCAGCGGCGGCGCGCCCGCGGUCGUCGACGAGAUCGGGGCCGGGCUCGGGUGCGCGAUCAUGGACUGGCGCGCGCAGGAGAUCGUCGUCGCAAGAGACGAGGCGAUAUACCUCGCCGGCACCGAGAGCCGCGGCGGCUGCUACGCGUACGAAGGUCGCUGCUCCCCGCUCCCUCACAUCCCGUAUGACAGAAAUUCCUGACAUGGUUGGCAGGCUUGAAGGCGCGGAUCCACACGCACCGCAACUACAUCGUCAUCGUGUCGCCGCCGUUCUCGCCGUCCGCGUCGGCGGCGUCGGCGACGGUGCGGAACUUCGUGGCACGGAACGCCGCGCCCGCGAGUGCGGACAUCACGAAGGUGUCCGUGUUCGACCCCGAGAACAAGUUCGUCGCGCAUACGAGCACGUUCACCGAGGGCGUGCGCGAGGUCUUCUCUGCGUGGGGCAAGCUCUAUGUCCUCUCGAACAGCGGCACGGUUUGUGUCUAUAUAUGCUGCCCCCCAAGUCAAAGCUGACGCUUGUCCGUGGGGAACAGCUGAUAUGUCUGGAGGAGAAGCCGACGUCGGCGAAGCUCGACAUGCUGUACCGCAAGGGGCUGUACCUCCUCGCGCUCAACAUCGCGGACACGCAGAAGCUGGACGAGUCGUUCAUUGCGGACAUCCACAAGCAGUACGGCGACCACCUGUACAACAAGGGCGAUUACGAUGGUGCCAUGGCGCAGUACAUCCAGACUAUCCGACAUGUCCAACCCAGCUACGUCAUCCGCAAGGUCAGCUUCCACGUUCAAUCUACCCCAGAUACAUGCUGACGUCGUCGCAGUUCCUCGAUGCGCAGCGGAUACACAACCUCGUAACGUAUCUGCAAGAGCUUCACUCACUUGGCAUGGCCAACUCCGACCACACCACGCUGCUCCUAAACACGUACACGAAGCUGAAGGACGUAACCCGCCUCGAUGGCUUCAUCAAGCGCGAGUCGUUGCGCACAUCCGCCGGCGGCGAGAAGGACGAGCUGCCCUUCGACCUCGACACGGCGAUCCGGGUGUGUCGGCAGGCGGGCUACUUCGAGCACGCCUCGUACCUUGCGAAGAAGUACGAGCGGCACGAGGACUACCUCCGGAUACAGAUUGAGGAUGCAGGUAACUACAAGGACGCACUGAUGUACCUGCGGAAGCUGGGUGCAGAGGCUGUAAGUGAUCUGUCGUGGAUGUGUGAAGGCUCUCUGAUCGACGUUCGUCUAGGCUGAGAGCAAUCUUGCUCGAUACGGCCGUGCGAUGCUCGAAAACCUCCCUGAAGAGACGACCGACCUCCUCAUCGACAUUUGCACCAGCCUCUCGCCUCUGACCGUCGAGGCAGACGAACCAGAGGCGACACCCACAGCGCAGAAGGGCGGCGGCGGCUCGUCCUACCUGUCCUACCUCGCCCUGAACCGAGCACCGGUCGCCAGCGUCCCCUUGCCAUCCGACAACGCCCCCUCGACCAUCCAACCCACCCCCACCAACAAAGCCGAGCCAGCCGCCGCCGCCCGCGGUCCCGCCACUCAGGACGCCGCAUCCCGACAAGGACAAGGCGAUUCCCCGACCGACACGCCGACGACGACCGCCAGCCCGACGAAGGCCCGGCCGGCCCCCGCGCCGGUCAAGCGGCCCUCGCCCCGGCUCUACUUUGCGCACUUCGUCGACCACACGGACCACUUUGUGCGCUUCCUCGAGACCGUCGCGCGCAAGCGCUGGGGCCAGGCCGUCGAGAACGCCGGCGCCCCGCUCCCCGUCGACCCCAACCCCAAUCCCAACCCCAACCCCGACCCCGACUCGAACCCCAACCCGGGCCGGAACAUGGACUCGGCCGCCGCGGAGGAGGAGGAGGGGGAGGAGCGCGACCAGGCGGCGGUGUGGAACACGCUGUUCGAGCUGUACCUGGCAGCGGACAGCGCGAAGGCGCUCGCGCUGCUGCAGAACGCGCGGCGGCUGCCGUACGACCCGACGCACGCGCUCGUGCUGUGCUCGACGCGCGCGUUCACGCCCGGGCUCGUGCUCCUGUGGGAGCGCAUGGGCAUGCACGAGGACGUCGUGCGCUUCUUCAUGGACCGCCACCGCGCGGGCGACGCCGGCGCGAGCGCUGAGGUCGUCCGCCGCCUCGAGCGGUAUUGCGAUGGGGGGAACGGCGGGGAGGACAGGGAGGACAGGGAGGACGGGGAGGACAGGGAGGACGGGGAAGGGGGGGAGGGGCGCGGGCGGGCGCGGCGCCUGUACCCGCUCGUGCUGCGGUUCCUGACGAGCACGCCGGCGCUGCUCGCGGCGCACCGCGAGGACGUCGUGCGCGUGCUGAGGGUCAUCGACGAGGAGAGGAUCAUGCCGCCCGUGAGCGUCGUGCAGGUGCUGAGCAGGAACGGCGUCGCGAGCGUCGGGCUCGUGAAGGAGUGGCUGAUGGCGAGGAUCAAGAGCGCACGGGAGGAGGUCGAGACGGUGCGUCCGCCUUUGCCUCUCUUAUUCCAUUCCUUUGUGUUGUUCGUGGGGGCUGAUCGAUCGUGUGUUGUAGGACCAGCAACUCAUCCUGUCCUACCGAAUGGAGACGCAGGCGAAGCUGCGCCAGGUCGAGGAGCUCACGGACCCCGACAAGCCGCGCGUGUUCCACGUCACGCAGUGCGCCGCCUGCCAGGGCGGCCUCGACCUCCCUGCCGUCCACUUCAUGUGCAACCACAGCUACCACCAGCGGUACGCCCUCCUGCUUUCAUUUCCGUGCUCCUCGUGCUAAUCGGGUUUUACGCAUUGUGCUUGACUUUGGAACAGGUGUCUGGCAGAGAACGAGACCGAGUGCCCGAACUGUGCGCGCGAGCACGGCAUGAUCAGGGAGAUCCGGCGGAACAACGAACGGCUCGCGGACCAGCACGACCUCUUCCUGUCGGAGGUGCGCGAGGGCGGGUUCAGUGCGCUUGCGGCAGGCUUCAGCCGUGGGACGUUGAACGUAACGAGGGUCGAUGAGCUCGCGGCGUAAAUUUACUUAGUGUUGCUCUCAGUUCAUACUUGUUGUAUACCCGGACUCCGUUGCGAGGGCCCAUUCAUCAAUGCAUCAUGGCUGCCACGGUUGCCAUUAAACUUGAGCGACUAAGUUAUGGGGGAGACACCCUGGGCCGAGGGUGCACCAAGCGAGCGAUGAAGCCCCGAAGCUUGAUCAUAGCAUUAAGGAUUCCUACGAGGUGUUCUGAACUAAUAACGCUCAGACACCUCAUGUUACCGUUGGCAAAUUGUCACAAGAGUUUUUUUCACUUUCGCCGACGAAGGUAAUUGUGGUGUGGUAUUAGUACAUGUAUGUAUAAUAUGGCUACAAAUACACAGGACAUGGAGAUGUCGUCGUAUGUAUGUUACUCGUGGCAGUAUAUGCAAACAAGGCCGGCUAUUGCAACGACACGACACAUCGGCAUCAUCACGUACAUAUACAAAAACGGUCCGAUCCGAGGACCCAUCACGGCGGAGAGGCACAAGGCAUGCCAAUACGACAGGGAACAAGCGAUGACGACACGACGACACGGGGGGAAGGGGCGAGUGCGCUGUCAGUGUGUGUUAUGAUGAAACCCAACGGAACGAGCCACGCCCGGCCGAGGCUGGAAACGCUGGCGCCCCCAGCUGGCCGGAGCGCAUCGAGGUCGCCUCAGGGUCCUACCCCCCCCCCCUGCCCGCCUCGAAGGCCCCACAACUCUGGCCCAGCCCCGCAAAACAAGCGCAGGCGCGGGCCCGCCCCAUGUGCCGCGAAGGGCGAGACCCAGCUCCACACCGCAGGGGCCGACUACAAAGCCCCCCCUGCGCGCACAGUAGGCCCCGCGACGGUGCGCCCGCCCCACCCCAGCAAUACUAUAAUCUCGGUGUCCGGUGCGUUUCGUUGCGCAUCCCUCUCCUGUCCUCACAGUCAUUUUUCGCGCUACCAGCAGCAGCAGCAGCGCCCGCCAGCGUCGCCGGCACGCGCACGCGCACGCUCACGCGUACUCACUCGAUGACCUCGAAGCGGCUCCGCUUGGGCUCGCGGCCGUCAUGCGGGUCGUCGAGCGAGCGCUUGCUCGACUCGCCGAGCCCGUGCGCGGCGGCGACGUCGACGCCGUGGAAGGACUCGCCGUUGACGAGGUUCGAGAGGAUGAGCGUGUACUGCUCGUCCGUGAGGCCCAUGCCCGCGAGCGGGUUGAUCUUGCCCUCCUCCUCGUCCCCGGCCCCGAGCGAGAAGCCGAUGGGCAGCGCGCCGAGCUGCUGCUGUUGCUGCUGCUGCUGCUGAUGGAGGGCGCUGGCCUGGAUGGCGAGCGCGUUGUCGAACGACGGGUCCGACAGGGGUGGGACGCCGACGGAGCGGGGCACGCGGGAGAGGGUCUGGAUGACCUUGAGGUGGGUGAGGUGCUUCUCGAGGACCUCCCAGAGGCCGUCCUUGGUGAACGGCUUGGGAAGGUGGUCGUUCAUGCCGGACGAGUAGUACUUCAUGAUCUCCGCUGGCUUCGAGUUGCUCGUCAUGGAGAUGAUGGGCGUCAUGUGGUCGAACUGGCGGAUGAGCGACGUCGCCGACACCCCAUCGAGUUUUGGCAUCACGAUGUCCUGUGAAACACAAUGCAAACGCAGCAAAAAAUAAUAAUUGGGGUCAGCCUUCCCCGAAAACCCAAACGCAAAAAAUAUUUUUUUAACCACAAAGCAACGCACCAUGAGCACCAAAUCGUACUUCUCCAGGUUCAUCUUGUUCACCGCGCCGACGCCAUCGACCGCAACGUCGAUCGUGCACCCAAAGAUUUGCAAGAACUUGCUCGACACCUUCCUGCUCACCGCGUCGUCGUCCACGAGCAGCACCCUCGGGGGCACCGCCCACCCGGGCACGUACGUCGACCUCCUCACGCGCAACGUCUGCGCGCUCCCCGGGCGCCCACUCGGGCCCGCCCCGGCAGCAGACGAGCUCCCAGCCCCAGCCCCAGCCGCAGACGCAGACGGGGCGGGGCCGCCAAUGAACUGGGUGGGGGUGGGGGGCGCGGCGGACGAGCUCUCGCCCUCCUCCUCGGGGUCGCCGCCCAUGCCCUCGGGCGUGGGCAUGACGACCUGGUUGAGCACGUUCGGGUCGAACGCCCAGUUCCCGUUCGCGUCCUCGAGCGACGAGCGCGGCAGCAGGUGGCCCACCGUGAACACCUGCAGGCCCUCGUGGUUCAUCGUGCUCGCGUCCACCGCGAGCCCGUACCGCGCCGCGUCCUCCAUCAGGAACGGGCCCGCGUCAAACGCCGCCGCGUCGAGCGCGCCCGGGGGGGCGGAGGGCCCAGCCGAGGGCGGGGGCGGGGCGACGCCCGAGGGGCUCGUCGAGGACGACGCGGCAGCCUGGGCCUGGGCCUGAGCCUGCGCUUGUGCUUGUGCUUGUGCCUGCGCCUGUGCCUGCUGUUGCUGUUGCUGUUGCUGUUGCUGCUGCUGCGCCUGCUCGCGUUGCUGCUGCUGCUGUUGCUGGGAACGCGCCUUCUGGCUCUGGCCGGACGACGACGACACAGGCUGCCGACCGGCCUGGGCCGGGCCCGCGUUCUGGGCCUGGUCGAGGGCGGGCGUCGGCCGCAUCCGUGUGAGCUCCUCGAUGCGCGCGAGCGCGUCCUGCCUGCUCAUCGGGCGUGCGGGCGCGUCCAUGCCCCCCGGCAUCAGCCCCGCAGCCGCGGCCAUGAUGGUGGACGCGCGCGAGCUGGGCCGCACGGGCGCCCCCCCGCCACUGGGCCCCGCCGCCGCCGCACCGCCCGCAGUGCCGAACGUCAUGCCAGCGACCUCGGCGCGGCGCGAGAUCUCGUUCAUCUGGGCGAGCGACGCGCGGGCGAUGUCACCGUCGGGGUAGGCGCCCAUCAUGCGCUGCGCCUCGGUCGCGGGGAGAAAGGGGUUCGGGUCUGGGGCGUAGGUCCCUGGGGCGGGGUUCGAGAUCUGUUCCGUCUUCAGCUUGCCUAGACCGUCGAAGGGGCGGUGGGUGAGAGCGGGCAGCGGGGAUUUUCGGAACGUGGUUAUCGUGUCACGUAGAUGGACGUUUCGCGGCGAUGAUGAUGAUCGCGUGUGUGUGUGUGCGUGCGUGCGUGUGCAGGAAGUAGUAGUAGGUAGCAGACCAGCCAGGAUUCCAUCCCGUUUCGAGUGCGAGGCAGAUGCGUCCGUGGGAUUUGCAACAAUGCGGAAUGCGGGAGACGGGAGAGAGAGAGCGAGAAAACAUAAAAAAGCAAUAGUACAAAUUAGCUUCCGGCCUGGUGAUUAAUAAACUACGAGGAGACAGUCCCACCAUUCUCCAACUGCAAGAAGUAUUGUAUCAAAUUCUGCAUGAGUCCGUCCUGCUGCGCCAUGUUUCGUUGGAAGUUGACCAUCUCAGACAGCACGUUCUGGUAGUUGGUCUCAAGGGAUCGUAUGUGCUGCGCCAUCUCUUCCUGGUCGCGGGCCAUACGAUCUAACUGCGCCUGGAGCGCCUCAACGGUAGCAGAGGAGGAUGGACUGGGGGAGUUUGCCCCGCGCCCGGUGGAUUUACGCUGAGCGGGCACCUUUCGCUUGAUGUUCUCAAGCGCAUCGCGGCGAUCAGCAUGGAAGUCAGGGUGUCGGAAUGUCCAGCUCUACAACGUGCGAGAGUCCGGGUGAACGCCAUUCUAAGAAGCACGGGGGGAAGGGGACGGAGAACUCACGUGUUCGCCAAACUGGUUAUCGUCCGUGUUCUUGACCUGGGGUUCUUUGUGUUCAUACCGGGUAUCGCGCAGGAGUGAAUGGGAGAAGACGUACUUUGUGGAAGUCAUACUUGUUUAGUUGGCGGACGAAGGAAGCGAAAUUGGAGUGCUUGAACAUGCGGGGGAGGAUGGAUUUCGUGAACUCGUUCAUGUCCUUGACGACAAAGCAGUCGCCGUUAGGACCCCACGAGACGACGUCGGCGAAGGUAGUGUCUUCAAGCAUCCUUUGUGGCAAAUUGAUAUUGAACGUCUAGGCUAGGGCCGAAUAUGAAAAGGGGAGGCACGCACUUGUAGAGCUUUUUGACAAAGUCGGAAGUGGAUGGCAUGCUGUCCUCCGGUUCAUGCUUGACAUGAGACGAGGCGAGGAUGCGGUCUUGGGAGGAGUCGCGGGCCAUUUCGCGGUCUGGGCGAUGUGGGGAGGAGUCUGAGAGGCGACGAGAGGGCGGGGGUAUGUCGUCGCGCGAGGAUGAUGGGCGGUGGCUGGACCAGGGGAGAGUGGAUGAGGCGGAUAGGGAGUGGCCGGAGAGGGGCGAGGCGGUGGCGGAGAGGGAGGGAUGGGUGUAGGUGGGCGGGGGGUAGCGAGAAGCGGCGGGAAGCUGUGAGAUGGGGGGGAGGGUGUUGUUCCUCGGAAAGGAAUUGAGGUGGAGCUGGGAGGGAGGCGGGAGGGUCGAGGAGGGGAAGAGCUGCCUCUGGAGCGGCGGAUACUGGGGCGAGUUGUCCAUCUGGCCUGGACUGUUAUGAGGGGUUGGGGAGGAGGAGCAGAGACGAGGCCGAGUUGAUAUCCCACUCUGUCAAUCCUCCUCCACGGCCCCAUCCCUCCAUUCCC
This 34918-nucleotide long non-coding RNA is filed under the name Ganoderma lucidum. Its description in RNAcentral is "long non-coding RNA (GLUC_LNC000039)". Lineage: Eukaryota; Fungi; Basidiomycota; Agaricomycetes; Polyporales; Polyporaceae. The record is from RNAcentral.